UGUGUUGUGCCAGAAUUAAUGGGAUAUUUUGAUAGGAUAUUUAUGCUGAAGAGCCUACACAU
Molecule: transfer RNA, 62 nt
Filed under: Pyura gangelion
Lineage: Eukaryota; Metazoa; Chordata; Ascidiacea; Stolidobranchia; Pyuridae
Description: transfer RNA-Ile
Source: RNAcentral